RNAcentral lists this long non-coding RNA (960 nucleotides) under Homo sapiens (human). RNAcentral describes it as "HSALNT0371557". Lineage: Eukaryota; Metazoa; Chordata; Mammalia; Primates; Hominidae. The record is from RNAcentral.
GUCUUGGUUCAGGGCUGUGCACAGAAAGCAAACCCUGAAUGAGAGAGGAGGAAGUAAAAGUCCAUUUAAAUACACUACACGUUCCAUCAUUCAGACAGACAACACCUUCAACUCAUGCUUAACUUGGCAAAUUGUCAUUAGAUACAGAUAAUCAUCAAUGGAUCUUGUAGCGUCAUUUACGGGCAGUUCCCAGAAGGAAGAUGACAUUUCAAACCAAAUGGAGUUCAAAAUUUCUGCUGCUCAUUCGUAAACUGCUUGUGGCCUAACUCAGUUCCCAAGAGUCCUGUUAGUAAUUCUGCCUUUGUCUUUUUCUUUCCUUUUACUUUAGCAUUGGAGCCCCAAGGGCUCACCAUCAGCAUAGACUCUUCUCACCAAUACCUUACCUACCUGGGAUCUGUUGUAUGAGAAAUUCAGAAACCCCCUUUUUGCAUAAGGAAACCAUCAGGAGCUAAAUCAUUUUUUUACAUACAAAGCUAAGUGGUUUUCAAUAUUACAUGUUAACUACAGACCUUCAUUAUGGAAAAUGUUGUGCCUCUGGACUUACGGCAACCUCAAAAUAUUUCAACCUCAAAAUAUUUCGGACAAACCAUUAAGUUUACUUGUAAAUGGAAGCUAAAAGCCUACAUUUUCCAGUAUAUCAUUGAGAAUUGUCUUGAGCUGCAAGUAACAGAAAACUUCUCUACGGUUGCUUAGCUACAUAGAGAUUUGUUUAAUUCUCAACAUAAUGAAGAAUCCAGAGCUCUUCAACUGAUUGGAGGAUGUCCACUCACAUUGGAGAGGGCAAUCUGCUUUUCUCAAAGUUCAGCCACUCAAAUGUUCAUUCAUCCAGAAAUGCCCUUGAAGAUACACACAAUAUAACAUCUGGCCAAAUAUCUGGGCACCCUGUGGCCCAGAUUGACACAUAAAAUUAAACCUCACCAUCUUGCCUAGGGGAAGGAUUUUCUCAUCAUAAAUGCCAUU